This is a long non-coding RNA of Diprion similis, 710 nucleotides long. RefSeq lists it as uncharacterized. The record is from RefSeq and is a predicted model, not a curated record. The transcript has 3 exons. Lineage: Eukaryota; Metazoa; Arthropoda; Insecta; Hymenoptera; Diprionidae.
AAGAUUAGGGUAGAGAGAAGGGCAUGGAACUUUGAAAAGAAGCUGGACAGAGGGGAGAGUAGCGAGUUAGCUAGGAGAUGCUGGGAAGAGGUAAGGGCAAAGGUAGAAGUGGGGAAGGAAGGAUCAAGAUGGGAAAGAGAGAGGGAAGGUUUCUUUGCCGAAAGGGGGCAGGAGAAUAGGGAGGCUGUCGGGAGGAGGGAGAGGGGGGAACUGGAAUUUGGGGAGUUGGAGGAGAGAAAGAGGGUGGAGCAGAGGAAAGAGAGAUGUGCGGAAAUAGGAGAAUCUCGGUACAGCAGAUGGUACAGGAUAGUGAUAGGAGAAGGGAUACCAGGGUAUCUGGGAAAGGGCUGGGGAGAAAGCAGGUGGAAAAUGGCGGCAAGAUUCAGGUUAGGAAGCGAGAUGAGGGAAGCAAAGUACUGGGAGAAAAAGGAAAAGAGAAGGUGUAGGGUGUGUGGGGGGGGGAAGACGAAACGCGGGAGCACGUUUGGGAAAGGUGUGUAGGCUAGGAUAGAAGGGAGGAGAGCUGGCAGGAGGUAGUGAGGGAGAAGUUAGGGGCGGAGGGGGAGGGGGAAGGCUGGACGAGAGAACUGAAAAGGAUCAGAAAUGUGCGAGAAAAGGAAAGAAUAAGAGAUGAAUGGGAAACGAAAGCCGAGUAGUAUAAGGAAGGAUAGGGAAUAGCAUAAGGUGAAAUAAGUUAAGGUUAGGUGAAU